Brassica napus (rape) is the source of this 1162-nucleotide long non-coding RNA. RefSeq lists it as uncharacterized. The transcript is spliced from 4 exons. NCBI's taxonomy places the organism in Eukaryota, Viridiplantae, Streptophyta, Magnoliopsida, Brassicales, Brassicaceae. The record is from RefSeq and is a predicted model, not a curated record.
CUCAACGUUUCAUUAAUUCUGGUGCGGGCUUCGAUUUUCAUUUGGUAUAAUCGCGUGUUUGGGCUGAUGUCGUGGUGUGGUCCGUGAAGUAGAGUUCUUCUGUAACCCUAAUAACGCAGAGACAAUGAAUUGGUGCUCGUAUCUCCUAAUCGUGCGACGGCGACACGGUGACGUUUGUGCUUCUUCUCACCACCUAUCCAUUUCCAAUCAAACGUUAAGAUCAACUGGAAAGACACCAACAGAGACGUUCUUGAACGAUGUCGAUCUCGAUUUGGGACGAGCGGAGCUUCGAUUCUGGCUAAUUGAUUUGUUUGGAUUUUUUUGGGAAGCGAGGAACACGACGAAGGGGCAUUUUAAUUGGUUUAUAGCUCCUGUUUAUUGACGAACAGGUUAGAACUCUGUGUUGAUUAAUUUUACUGCUUUCAUUUGUUCCUAUUAACUAAUACCAUUCUGUGAAAGGCAACUGAGCGUGGACAAGAAUACAUUAUUAUUAUUUUCUUUGCAACAAAAAAAAAGAAAAUAAAAGGUUCUGCAACUCCGGUUGGUGAUUUUGGAAAUAUGAAGAAGUGCAAGCAAGAAGCUUUAUCAGACAUUUAAUCUGCUAGAAGACUAAACAUCGUUAGAUGCAUCUGAUGGUUAUAGACUAUGAGAAUUAUGGAAUACCUAAUGCCGAGUACCAUUCAAUUGUGAGGAGGUGGUAGAGAAGUCGAUUCCAUUCUCCAGGUGGUGUGCUGCUUUGAGGACAACGAUAAUUAUCAUGUCGGUGGCAAAAUAAAUCCCACGUCUGACCUUGAUUUCAUCAAUCUCGAACUCAUUUUCUGCGACUUGGAUCAGAUUUGUAAAAUACUCGGAACUUACGAAAUGCAAGGCAAGAGGAUUCACAAUCUAAAGUCAAAGAAAACUAUUGUCUGAAUGCCUUUGGUAUAAUAGUAGUGUGCUUUAUAGUGAUAUUGCAGUAGAUGUGUAGCUACGUAGUCUAGACAAGUAAAUUCAGAAAACACGAAGGAUCAGUUUAGCUUCAACAGAUAAUGGGAUUUGAUGUAUUUGAUUCACUAAAUGAAUGGAGUUAGAGCUUUACAAAAAAAAAUGUUUCUUUUAUUGCAUAUCUUUUGGCGAUUUUUGACCCGUUCAAACCAAUGUGUUAUAUAUGCACACAACUAUU